Molecule: transfer RNA, 88 nt
Filed under: Campylobacter sp.
Lineage: Bacteria; Pseudomonadati; Campylobacterota; Epsilonproteobacteria; Campylobacterales; Campylobacteraceae
Also listed under: 3 other names
Description: tRNA-Ser
Rfam family: tRNA
About the family: Transfer RNA (tRNA) molecules are approximately 80 nucleotides in length. Their secondary structure includes four short double-helical elements and three loops (D, anti-codon, and T loops). Further hydrogen bonds mediate the characteristic L-shaped molecular structure. tRNAs have two regions of fundamental functional importance: the anti-codon, which is responsible for specific mRNA codon recognition, and the 3' end, to which the tRNAs corresponding amino acid is attached (by aminoacyl-tRNA synthetases). tRNAs cope with the degeneracy of the genetic code in two manners: having more than one tRNA (with a specific anti-codon) for a particular amino acid; and 'wobble' base-pairing, i.e. permitting non-standard base-pairing at the 3rd anti-codon position.
Source: RNAcentral
GGGCAGAUGUCCGAGCGGUUGAAGGAGCACGCCUGGAACGCGUGUAAGGUGCAAGCCUUCGGGGGUUCAAAUCCCUCUCUGUCCGCCA